UAGGGAAUCUUCCGCAAUGGGCGGAAGCUUGACGGAGCAACGCCGCGUGAGUGAUGAAGGUCUUCGGAUCGUAAAACUCUGUUAUUAGGGAAGAACAAAUGUGUAAGUAACUAUGCACGUCUUGACGGUACCUAAUCAGAAAGCCACGGCUAACUACGUGCCAGCAGCCGCGGUAAUACGUAGGUGGCAAGCGUUAUCCGGAAUUAUUGGGCGUAAAGCGCGCGUAGGCGGUUUUUUAAGUCUGAUGUGAAAGCCCACGGCUCAACCGUGGAGGGUCAUUGGAAACUGGAAAACUUGAGUGCAGAAGAGGAAAGUGGAAUUCCAUGUGUAGCGGUGAAAUGCGCAGAGAUAUGGAGGAACACCAGUGGCGAAGGCGACUUUCUGGUCUGUAACUGACGCUGAUGUGCGAAAGCGUGGGGAUCAAACAGGA
This 430-nucleotide ribosomal RNA is filed under the name Actinomycetes bacterium. Its description in RNAcentral is "Actinobacteria bacterium partial 16S ribosomal RNA". It matches the Rfam family "Bacterial small subunit ribosomal RNA", at positions 355 to 777 of the family's 1533-position model. Lineage: Bacteria; Bacillati; Actinomycetota; Actinomycetes. The record is from RNAcentral.